AACGUAGGAGACAAACGUUAUCCGGAGUUACUGGGCGUAAAGGGCGUGCAGGUGGUCUGUUAAGUCUGGCGUGAAAGCUCUCGGCUAAACCGGGAGAGGUCGUUGGAUACUGGCGGACUAGAGGACGGUAGAGGCGUGUGGAAUUCCGGGUGUAGUGGUGAAAUGCGUAGAGAUCCGGAGGAACACCAGUGGCGAAGGCGACACGCUGGGCCGUACCUGACGCUGAGGAGCGAAAGCAUGGGGAGCAAAUAGG
This 253-nucleotide ribosomal RNA is filed under the name uncultured bacterium. RNAcentral's name for it is "partial 16S ribosomal RNA". It matches the Rfam family "Bacterial small subunit ribosomal RNA", at positions 524 to 776 of the family's 1533-position model. The record is from RNAcentral.